CGGCGAGUGAAGCGGGAUGAGCUCAAGCUUAAAAUCUCCAUACAAUUUUUGUAUGGCGAAUUGUAGUCUAUAGAAGCGUGGUCAGUGUAGGCACUUGGGGUAAGUUCCUUGGAAAAGGACAGCAUGGAGGGUGAUACUCCCGUUUAUCUCUAAGUUGCUUAUACGUACGACCCGUUUUCUUUGAGUCGCGUUGUUUGAGAAUGCAGCGCAAAGUAGGUGGUAAAUUCCAUCUAAAGCUAAAUAUUGGUGCGAGACCGAUAGCAAACAAGUACCGUGAGGGAAAGAUGAAAAGAACUUUGAAAAUAGAGUUAAAGAGUACCUGAAACUGCUGAAAGGGAACCAAAUCGUUUCCAGUGUCUAUAAUCCGUGGUAUAUCACAUCGGCGAGCGUGUGCGUGUGUGUGCUGUUGUAGUGGCCUUUUGGUUACGCUCGGCGUAUGUGCUGUAUAUGCUUGCUGGUGCCCUGUACUGCGGUGGGACGUCAAGGUCAGUUCGUAUGCUGCGGGAAAUGACUACCAAGGAGGUAGGGCUUACGCUUGCGUUUGUCUGUUAUAUCUUGGUAGACGAGUAGUCGCGGUUGGGACUGAGGUGCCUACAACGUGCUUUUGAGUGGGCUUGGGUCUUCGUGUGCGCCGUGUGCGGAUAGCUUGCUAUGCGUGUGUGGUUGUGUAUGGAUUGA
Molecule: ribosomal RNA, 678 nt
Filed under: Plasmopara halstedii
Lineage: Eukaryota; Oomycota; Peronosporomycetes; Peronosporales; Peronosporaceae
Description: LSU rRNA
Rfam family: Eukaryotic large subunit ribosomal RNA
Source: RNAcentral